Molecule: long non-coding RNA, 2650 nt
Filed under: Homo sapiens (human)
Lineage: Eukaryota; Metazoa; Chordata; Mammalia; Primates; Hominidae
Description: HSALNT0197536
Source: RNAcentral
CUCGGCACUGCAGGACUGGUUGGUGUCCAGUUCAACUCUGUCCCUGACACAGGACCCUGUGCUCAGACUGCCCAGCCCUGCCUCACACACGAGAUGUGUUUUCUCUGGAUACGUGCUGGCCUCCUGUCUCGUCCAUCUGCAGUCCAGCAGCAGGAUGGAUAAAGGAUGAACCCGAUCAUCUCACUCCCUGGUCACAUCCCUCCCAUGGCUUCUGCAUCAUCGGGUUCUUUGCUGUAACCACAGAAGCCCACCCCUCCAGUUGCAUUAAGCAGGAGUAGCUCAUUACAGAUCACGUUUCUCCAACUCCCAUUACACACAAAUCCCCAGGGGUCUUGAUGAAAUGCAGGCCCUGACCAGUAGGUCUGGGCUGGGGUCUGAGACUGUGCAUUUCCAACGAGACCCAGGGGAAGCGGAUUCCUUGGGGCCAGUGUGGACAUCAGGAAGCUCCCAACCCUUUGUGGGACAGAGACUCAGUGGCUACAAGUGUCCAGCCCACACCAGGGACUGCUCUGAAGAAGGCCAUUCAACCAGACCCCACAGCUCGCCCUGAUGACCCCAGGAGGGGACAUCAACUUCCUUCCCAUUCCCCCUGAAUCCACCAGGCCUUUCUAGCUCCUGCGCCCACACAUGGACCUGCCCAGCGCCAUCUUCUCACCCUCUUCCUGAGCAGAGGCUCAAGGGAGACUUCUGAUUGGUUGAGCCUGGGUCACAUGAUGGGAUUCGGGUCACAUGAGGGGCCUGACUGCAAGGGAUGCUGGGAAAUGGAGUCUGGUUUCCUCCUUGGAACUGUGCAAGGCAGCAUGAGGGACGUGUGCAUGUAGGAAGGGCACUCACAGGGAUCAUCAGAGGCCACAAAAUGCCCACGGCAGCUUCUCCCAGAGCCCGAACUCUGACAAGACUCCAGGCCCCUUCCUGUGCAUCUCAGCACAUGCCUCCUUCACACCAACCAGGCCCAUCCCCAACUCAUGUCUGGAAUAUUCUCCUCACACAUCUCCUUCCAGGCCUCAGCCAGAAUGUCACCUCCUCAGAGAGCUUUCCUGACCAUCCCAGUCAUUUCACAACAUGAUACCCAAAUCCAAGGCAGCAGACUGAAAAACCUGCCCAGAAGGUUCCCCAAUGCCCUCCCCCUUUCAACAUGAGACUCUAAAAUGUCUUUCCAAGGCCAUCCCAGCCAGACACCAUGACCCCAGCGGAUCUGGUCCAUGGAUGCUCCCAGGCAUCUCCCAAACACAGACAGGGCUCCUCCCAGAAGGUAUAUUCUGGAAACGAAUCUGAGUCUGCGCUGCUACCUGUGUCUGUGCAUGUGGCUUCUUCAAAAGUCUGGAUUCUUUGCCAGUGCCCUUCUCUGCCAGCGUGAUCAGAGUUCUUGGCCCCAGCAUUUAACCAGAAUCCACUGUGCAUGCUACCACGCUGGACUUCUCCAUGCAUGACACUUUUAAGGGGCCUGCCCCUCAGCAAACACGGAUGCUGGAGGUGAUGCAGGUGCCCAGGGUGGGGAGGAAGCCUCAGGACUGGGGUCUGUCUGUCUGCCUUCCUGAAGCAGGAUGGACAUGUUCUUCCGUGUUUAAAUAGCAAAUCAUUUCCCUACGCUCAAAAAAUGAGCCCAGUGAUUCAGGGAAGGAAGGAAGAUAGGGGCCAGUGGUGCUGGGCAUGCUGGGUCUCUCAGCUGCUGCCUAUUGUGGGAGGGGCUGUGGUGAUGGAAGUGGGUCCAUCCCCACAGCCGGCGGCAGGAACAGCAGAAUGGCCUUCUAGCGUCUCCUGCAUGACUGGAGACCUCUAGCUGGUGUGUCUCCAGGAAGGACGCUGGCUCUGGCAGGAUGUAUCCAGGGACCUGGAGCCCCUCUGUGUGCAAUAAAUGGAUCAGACUUGAAGAGCACGGACAGUGGGUGGAAGAGAUGCCUGCUGGGACUGAGCCGCAGUGGACACCUGGGGUGGUGCUGGAUGCUAAGGGACUCCUGGAGGGUCCCCUCAUCUGUCCAUGCACACACUCACUCCCUCACUAAGUUUGGGUAAAGGGAGACAGGUCUCAGGAACAUGGAGGAUGGGACGGGCAGGGUUGGGGAAAGAGAAGGGAGUGGACAGAGGGCGAAGUCACAGCAUCACCCAGGUGAAUUGAAAGUAAGUUUAGAAGCAGGUGAGAGCCAUGAAGAUGGAAGCCAGGGAUAGGGAGGGGGGAAGGUGAAGGCAGAGCUGUUGGGAUGAUAGAGAAAUCAAAGUUCUUAAUCCCGGCUCAUUCAAACACUUGUGAUCCCACUCCCCAGGGAGCUGCGGGCAGUAGUAGUGAGGGUGCCCCCAGGGUAGGCAAGAGAUCAGAGGAGUGAACUGGAAGAGGCUGGAUCCCUCAGCUCUGCGGCUGAAAUGAGGAAAUUCUUCCUAACAGGCAAGCCUGGACAUCAAAGCAUGAAAGAGAAAAAUCUUGGUCCCCAAAGUAAGGCUCUGUUUCCUUUCAUGCCUAGGAUCUUCCCAUUAGAGUAGGCUGACCAACUCAAAUAAAGUCAGAAUCAUGGAAACACCUAUAAUUCUUGAAAAUUGUAUUUUACCAUAAAACGUAUAAAUGUACACUUUUUUUGCUAAUAUUUUUAGUGUGGGUUUGAUAGCUGGAGAUCUGCCCCCUAUCUCUUACAUCUCUUGCACCCAUAAUAUGUCCAAG